RNAcentral lists this ribosomal RNA (835 nucleotides) under Entrophospora etunicata. RNAcentral's name for it is "eukaryotic LSU rRNA". It matches the Rfam family "Eukaryotic large subunit ribosomal RNA", at positions 1 to 649 of the family's 3401-position model. Lineage: Eukaryota; Fungi; Glomeromycota; Glomeromycetes; Entrophosporales; Entrophosporaceae. The record is from RNAcentral.
AAGCGCUUGGCCGAGAUCGUGAGUUUUUUUUUAACAAAUGACCUCAAAUCAGGCAAGAAUACCCGCUGAACUUAAGCAUAUCAAUAAGCGGAGGAAAAGAAACUAACAAGGAUUCCCCUAGUAACGGCGAGUGAAGAGGGAAGAGCUCAAAUUUUAAAUCUGCCUUGUUCCAAGGUCGAGUUGUAAUUUGAAGAAGCGUUUUCUUGGGCUCGCGGCCGGUAGAAGUUCUUUGGAACAGGACAUCAUAGAGGGUGACAAUCCCGUCCGUGACCGGUCGUGCGUUCAUCUACGAUACGCUUUCAAAGAGUCGAGUUGUUUGGGAUUGCAGCUCCAAACGGGUGGUAAACAUCACCUAAGGCUAAAUAUUGGCGAGAGACCGAUAGCGAACAAGUACCGUGAGGGAAAGAUGAAAAGAACUUUGAAAAGAGAGUUAAACAGUACGUGAAAUUGUUGAAAGGGAAACGAUUGAAGUCAGUCGUGCUGGCGCGAAAUCAACCCUCUCGUCUUGAGAUCACAUGGCGCGACGAGCCUCAAAACCGUCACGAAGCGUGAACUCUUGACGAAAAGGUGCACUUUCGUGUCCGCUGGUUAACAUCAAUUUCGAACGUCAUAAAAAGGCUGGAGGGAUGUGGCUCCUUCGGGAGUGUUAUAACCUUUAGCGGAAUGUGGCGUUCGGGAUUGAGGAUUGCAACGAAUACCUUCAGGGCUGUUCCACCUGGCUUCUCAUUGGUAUCCUGGUGACGACAGCUUGCUGACGUCGUUAGGAUCAGCUUCUGAACAGGCUAGAGUGUGAGCAAAUUCGUUAAGGAUGUUAACGUAAUGGCUUUAAACGACC